RNAcentral lists this ribosomal RNA (491 nucleotides) under uncultured bacterium. RNAcentral describes it as "partial 16S ribosomal RNA". It matches the Rfam family "Bacterial small subunit ribosomal RNA", at positions 29 to 506 of the family's 1533-position model. The record is from RNAcentral.
AGUGAACGCUGGCGGUAGGCCUAACACAUGCAAGUCGAACGGCAGCACAGUAAGAGCUUGCUCUUACGGGUGGCGAGUGGCGGACGGGUGAGGAAUACAUCGGAAUCUACUUUUUCGUGGGGGAUAACGUAGGGAAACUUACGCUAAUACCGCAUACGACCUACGGGUGAAAGCAGGGGAUCUUCGGACCUUGCGCGAUUGAAUGAGCCGAUGUCGGAUUAGCUAGUUGGCGGGGUAAAGGCCCACCAAGGCGACGAUCCGUAGCUGGUCUGAGAGGAUGAUCAGCCACACUGGAACUGAGACACGGUCCAGACUCCUACGGGAGGCAGCAGUGGGGAAUAUUGGACAAUGGGCGCAAGCCUGAUCCAGCCAUACCGUGUGGGUGAAGAAGGCCUUCGGGUUGUAAAGCCCUUUUGUUGGGAAAGAAAAGCAGCAGGUUAAGACCCCGCUGUUCUGACGGUACCCAAAGAAUAAGCACCGGCUAACUUCGU